Molecule: ribosomal RNA, 253 nt
Filed under: uncultured bacterium
Lineage: Bacteria
Description: partial 16S ribosomal RNA
Rfam family: Bacterial small subunit ribosomal RNA
Source: RNAcentral
UACGGAGGGGGCUAGCGUUGUUCGGAAUUACUGGGCGUAAAGCGCACGUAGGCGGCUUUGCAAGUUAGGGGUGAAAGCCCGGGGCUCAACUCCGGAAUUGCCUUUAAAACUGCAUCGCUAGAAUUGUGGAGAGGUAAGUGGAAUUCCGAGUGUAGAGGUGAAAUUCGUAGAUAUUCGGAAGAACACCAGUGGCGAAGGCGACUUACUGGACACAUAUUGACGCUGAGGUGCGAAAGCGUGGGGAGCAAACAGG